AAAUCUUGAGAUCAAAGUCCAUUAAGUAUAUCCUUUUGAGACAUUUUCAUUACCAAAGCAUGAUGUAACUAAAAAUUACCACAAGACUUUGACUAAUUAUUUUAAUUUAUGACCCAAGAAACUAAAUGGCAAAAAAAAAGAUUUCACCUUGAAAUUAAGGUCAAAGGUCAAGGUCAUUCAAGGUUAUGAUAUUUAAUCACAUUAGUUAACUGACUAUGCAACAACAUAUCAAAUAUCUUAGAUAUAUAUAUAAAAACAAGAUUUUUACUCUCUAAAAAAAAUCAAUUUUUAUGGAUUUUUGUAAUUAUCUCCCUUUGAAAAAGGCAAUUUUUGAAAAUGUCUGAAAAUUUUGUUUAGUCAGAUCCCGUUGACUUUUUUACAUUUUUGGAUAUCAUAAACAACAUUUUCUCAUGAAGUAUAUAGUAUUUUUGACACAAGCCCUCUGCUUUUAGUAUAUUGGGCAUGAACAAAAUACUGAAAAAUGGGUAUCAAAAUAUCCACAAGUACAUGCUUUUUGAAGUUGGAUAAAAAAAAA
RNAcentral lists this long non-coding RNA (535 nucleotides) under Mytilus galloprovincialis (Mediterranean mussel). The record is from RNAcentral. Lineage: Eukaryota; Metazoa; Mollusca; Bivalvia; Mytilida; Mytilidae.